Molecule: ribosomal RNA, 1386 nt
Filed under: Escherichia coli
Lineage: Bacteria; Pseudomonadati; Pseudomonadota; Gammaproteobacteria; Enterobacterales; Enterobacteriaceae
Description: partial 23S ribosomal RNA
Rfam family: Bacterial large subunit ribosomal RNA
Source: RNAcentral
CAGGGUGACAGCCCCGUACACAAAAAUGCACAUGCUGUGAGCUCGAUGAGUAGGGCGGGACACGUGGUAUCCUGUCUGAAUAUGGGGGGACCAUCCUCCAAGGCUAAAUACUCCUGACUGACCGAUAGUGAACCAGUACCGUGAGGGAAAGGCGAAAAGAACCCCGGCGAGGGGAGUGAAAAAGAACCUGAAACCGUGUACGUACAAGCAGUGGGAGCACGCUUAGGCGUGUGACUGCGUACCUUUUGUAUAAUGGGUCAGCGACUUAUAUUCUGUAGCAAGGUUAACCGAAUAGGGGAGCCGAAGGGAAACCGAGUCUUAACUGGGCGUUAAGUUGCAGGGUAUAGACCCGAAACCCGGUGAUCUAGCCAUGGGCAGGUUGAAGGUUGGGUAACACUAACUGGAGGACCGAACCGACUAAUGUUGAAAAAUUAGCGGAUGACUUGUGGCUGGGGGUGAAAGGCCAAUCAAACCGGGAGAUAGCUGGUUCUCCCCGAAAGCUAUUUAGGUAGCGCCUCGUGAAUUCAUCUCCGGGGGUAGAGCACUGUUUCGGCAAGGGGGUCAUCCCGACUUACCAACCCGAUGCAAACUGCGAAUACCGGAGAAUGUUAUCACGGGAGACACACGGCGGGUGCUAACGUCCGUCGUGAAGAGGGAAACAACCCAGACCGCCAGCUAAGGUCCCAAAGUCAUGGUUAAGUGGGAAACGAUGUGGGAAGGCCCAGACAGCCAGGAUGUUGGCUUAGAAGCAGCCAUCAUUUAAAGAAAGCGUAAUAGCUCACUGGUCGAGUCGGCCUGCGCGGAAGAUGUAACGGGGCUAAACCAUGCACCGAAGCUGCGGCAGCGACGCUGAUGCGUUGUUGGGUAGGGGAGCGUUCUGUAAGCCUGCGAAGGUGUGCUGUGAGGCAUGCUGGAGGUAUCAGAAGUGCGAAUGCUGACAUAAGUAACGAUAAAGCGGGUGAAAAGCCCGCUCGCCGGAAGACCAAGGGUUCCUGUCCAACGUUAAUCGGGGCAGGGUGAGUCGACCCCUAAGGCGAGGCCGAAAGGCGUAGUCGAUGGGAAACAGGUUAAUAUUCCUGUACUUGGUGUUACUGCGAAGGGGGGACGGAGAAGGCUAUGUUGGCCGGGCGACGGUUGUCCCGGUUUAAGCGUGUAGGCUGGUUUUCCAGGCAAAUCCGGAAAAUCAAGGCUGAGGCGUGAUGACGAGGCACUACGGUGCUGAAGCAACAAAUGCCCUGCUUCCAGGAAAAGCCUCUAAGCAUCAGGUAACAUCAAAUCGUACCCCAAACCGACACAGGUGGUCAGGUAGAGAAUACCAAGGCGCUUGAGAGAACUCGGGUGAAGGAACUAGGCAAAAUGGUGCCGUAACUUCGGGAGAAGGCACGC